CUAAAAUGAUUUGCUGCUUGGAAGCCAUUCCGUGCCACCCUCAGACAAAUGCCUUGUAGAAGCCAGCAGGAUGCUCCUCUACUUACGGGCUGCAGCGGGACUUGGCUUUGGCACUGAAGAAAAGGGAUUUGUAGGGGAAGCUUCUGGUAGCAGCAUGUACACAAGGGAAGUUGGGCACAGCAGCAGUUUUCUUUCAAAUUCUCCUUGCUUCUGAAAGGCCACCCAUGGGAGGCAGCCAUCUCUGGUGCAGCUAUUGUUUGCGGUGGAUGCGUGCCACUGUUUGCGGCUGGGGUGGAGCGGAGGGAGCGCCGGGCCUCGCACACAGAAGAUGAAGACUGCCCUCUGCCUUUCUGUCUUUGGAGGCCACAUGUAGCACAAAUGAGGCAAAAAACAGAGGCUGGUAAGGCUGCCCUACACCAGGCUCAGGCAGCACCCAGCUCCCUCCUACAGCCAGAGCCUCAGCAGGAGCUUUCCUGAAGGAGCCGGAGGGCACUGGGGCAGAUCACCCAAGAUUGCUGACUGAGGCACCACAUCCUCCUGUUUAAGAGCCACAGGCAACACAGCAGUGAAUUAGGAGAAGAAAGGGACCAUUUGGAACAGUUCGGUUUCUUCAUUUUCCCCUUGGUUUUCUUUUGGGGCCAAGUCUAGUGCAGGAAAAAGAUGCAUGCCUAGAAGAGAAGCAAGAGUUUGUGUGCACUGCAACAGCUACAUUCACAUAUUUAGACAAGAAACAUCUAAAUAUUUUCUAAAAAGCGCAGGCCAAAAUGGUGUUGCAACUGAUUCAGGUUGGAUAUUCUUUCUCUGAAAGAGGGGUCAGGUGCUGGAACAGGCUGUCCAGGGAGGUGGUGGAGUCACUGUCCAGGGAGGUGUUCAAGAAACAUUUACAUGUUGUACCGAAGGACAUGGUUUAGUGAGGAAAAAUUGGUGGGAGGUAGACAGUUGGACCACAUGAUCUUGGAGAUCUUUUCCUGCUUUGGUGAUUUUAUGAGUGUACUGAGUGCUUCCCACACUCCUGUUGUCUCUACAACAGUUCCUGGUGGAUGAAUAGGUCUUCACCAGAGAUAAAUCUUGCAAGAGGGAAUGAGAACAAGAAUUGCACUACACCCAGCUGCAUUAUAACGCCACUAUGACAGAAUGACUUUUCUUAUACACGGGGCUGCAUUAUGCGUUAAUUUCGCCUGUCAACAAGUUGAGCAGAAUAGAUCUUGUGCAGACACCGAUCUUUUGAGGACCUUCUAAAUACACUGAAAAACUAAAACAAUAUUUGGGGAGGAAUUUGGGGAGGAUCUGAGGGUAGUCAUACCAAAAUUUUUC
Gallus gallus (chicken) is the source of this 1314-nucleotide long non-coding RNA. The record is from Ensembl. Lineage: Eukaryota; Metazoa; Chordata; Aves; Galliformes; Phasianidae.